RNAcentral lists this long non-coding RNA (2042 nucleotides) under Ananas comosus (pineapple). RNAcentral's name for it is "long non-coding RNA (ACOM_LNC039973)". Lineage: Eukaryota; Viridiplantae; Streptophyta; Magnoliopsida; Poales; Bromeliaceae. The record is from RNAcentral.
UACGAGGAGCUGUGGAUGCCGUUGAUCGCGGAUCUGACGGCGGCGGGGUCCUGGUCCGCCGCGAUGCUCCUGCCGCCGUUGGAUGUGCACUGGAUUUGGCACUGCCACUGCCUCGACCACGUAAGCAAUUAAAGCUCCUCCCCCAAAUCACACAAUUCCAACGAUUUUGAAAAUUUAAUUAAUUAUUUGCUUCAAUUCAUCGUUUCUUUAAUUUAAGAGAAUUUUCUCAAAUUUUAACACUGUCACAAAAUUUUAUUAAUUUGUAUAAAAAAAUGUAUGGUGACCACCGAUUCUGAAAUGGUCCACGCAACUUUUCUUCUUUUUUUUUUUUUCUUGGUAAUUGGAAUAGUUGUUUGAGUAUUUACACUUAUCGGACGUUACAAAUUUUGUCAAAUUCAAAACUUACUUAAACUUUAAAAAAUUUAAAAUUUGGAAUGUCUCAAUUAAAAAAAAAACAAAUAGUUGAGGGAGCUUUUUCAGAAUGGCACAUAGUUGAGAGAGAGAGUUUCUAUGUAUUAUUUUUUUUUUUCGAAAAAUUUAUUUGUGAUGAUUUGAAAUGAUUUGAGUAUAAGUAAAUCCGAUGAUUUGAGAUCGAAUUUGCCAUAAUUUGUCGUAGAAAACUUAUCUAUUUAAAAAGUAUUCUUUCUAAUUUCUUUACUAGUUAGAUGAUUAAUUAAAAAUAAAAAAAAAAAAAAAUUGAAUUUAAAUCAAUUACAUUCAUCCCGAAGAUCUAAUUUCUUUUUCUUUUUUUUUUUUGCACCAAUACACAAUGUAAUCCAUUUCAAGUCACUUAUGUUCCAAUUAAAGAAAAAGUAAAUGUGUAUAGAAUUUAUCUCAACUCUCAUUUAUUUAAUUUGAUUUCACUAUCAAAUUUUUUCUAAAAUUUAAAAUUUAAAAUUUUUAUUUAUUUAAUUUGAGCCAACUAAUAACUAUUUAACACAAAAAAUACGUUUUUUUUUUUUUUUUUUUUUUUUUUUUUUUGGGUGGAAAUAAUUNAGAUGUAGGAUCUGAAACACACCGAUUCGGAUUUCGAAAUAGAUGAUUAAAAUAGUUUGAAAAUAAAAUUAUUUUCAAGUUUUUUUUUUAAAAUACCCGGUAACACUUACGUUAAUCACAUAGUAAACUUACUACUUUAAAUAUAUAUAAAAAAUCCGAUCGUCUUUUUAAAAGAUAUCAAUAAGCGAAAAAGUGAAAAAGAAAGAAUAAAAAUUUUUAGAUAUAGUACAGGGAUAUUUUAAAAUUUUUAUAAAAAAUUUUUAAUACUGUAAUUACUUUUUCGACUUUACUGGUUUAAUAGGAAUGAAGAAAAUAUUUUUUAUUAAAAAAUUAUAUAAAUAUAAUAAAAUUUUAUAUAAAAGUCAUAUUUAAUAUUCUUUAUCUACCCUAUCAUUUUUUUGGAACUGUUUCUCUCUGAUAUAUAUAGUUGAAUUUUAAAAUAUUUUAUUUUAUAUUUGAAAAUUUUCAAUACUUUCUUUUCAUUUUUUUAUUAAUAUUCUAAGAGAUAUAAAAUCGGAUUAAAAAUUCAAUAUCUCAUUUUACGUCGCAUGCGUCCUCCCAAGUUUAAAUUAAAAUAUCGGAUCUUUUGAAGUUUAUAAUAAGUACACCAAAACAUGAAAGAAUGAAAUCAUAAGACAUCAAAUUUUACGUAGUGAAAGCAUAGGACACAAAAGUAAAAAAAGAAAGAUAAUAAGGGAAGCAAUUGAAAAGAUAAUUUAGUUAUUAUUUCAAAAAAAACCUCUAUAUUCAUCGUGCGAUGGACGAAGCAAAUAAAAUAAAUCUUUAUUCAAAUUGACCUUUACAUUUAGUUAAUCUUAAGCUUGAACCUAAAGCCCAUAGUUGGUGGUUCGGGAAACGGUGAACGAUAUUUUUGCCAGCCAUUUAAUUAUUAUUUCAAUUUUAGUGUCUUAUGAUUUCAUUCUUAAACCAUUUGGUGUCUUAUAAUUUCACUUAUAACUUAUUUAGUAACCAGCCUAUAGAUUUCAAAAAAUGUAUAAUGAAUUGCCUCUCAAAAUUGUCUUUACGAAUACUUUUCUUUUUUUUUU